GGCUCCCACUCUGGACGAACUUCUUCAGCAGCUCGGAGGGGCUGCCGGCCAGAAUCACGUCGUAGCUGGGGGAGGAAGAGGGGCCUGAGCAGGACAGCCACUAGGAACCUCGGAAACGCCGGUAUCCUUCCGUCUUGGCUGUGGCCACCGUGAUCACCAGCAGCUUCUCUGUCACCAGCCGGGAAUUGGCGCUCGGGACCCGCUCACCCAGCUCACUGCCCCACGAGUUCCGCUCACCGCAGGCCCCCUUGCCCUCCCUCCGACUCUGCCCCUGUCCUUCUAUUAUUUUUAUUUUUAUUUUUCCGAUUCCCUCUUAAACUCUUCUCAACCAAAA
Leopardus geoffroyi (Geoffroy's cat) is the source of this 334-nucleotide long non-coding RNA. RefSeq lists it as uncharacterized. The transcript has 2 exons. The record is from RefSeq and is a predicted model, not a curated record. NCBI's taxonomy places the organism in Eukaryota, Metazoa, Chordata, Mammalia, Carnivora, Felidae.